AAUAUUGUAAAUUUUAAUAUGUGCCCCAUACAAAUUUUGUUUCUAGAUCCGCCACUGUAAGUAGUCAUAUGAUCUUUUGAUUGAUAUAUUGU
RNAcentral lists this small RNA (92 nucleotides) under Arabidopsis thaliana (thale cress). Its description in RNAcentral is "ATSL022830". The record is from RNAcentral. Lineage: Eukaryota; Viridiplantae; Streptophyta; Magnoliopsida; Brassicales; Brassicaceae.